AGCAGUAGCCGCGGGAAUACGGAGGGGGCUAGCGUUGUUCGGAAUUACUGGGCGUAAAGCGCACGUAGGCGGCUUUGUAAGUUAGAGGUGAAAGCCUGGGGCUCAACUCCAGAAUUGCCUUUAAGACUGCAUCGCUUGAACGUCGGAGAGGUGAGUGGAAUUCCGAGUGUAGAGGUGAAAUUCGUAGAUAUUCGGAAGAACACCAGUGGCGAAGGCGGCUCACUGGACGACUGUUGACGCUGAGGUGCGAAAGCGUGGGGAGCAAACAGGAUUAGAUACCCCAGUAGUCCCUGUCUCUUUACA
This 303-nucleotide ribosomal RNA is filed under the name uncultured bacterium. Its description in RNAcentral is "partial 16S ribosomal RNA". It matches the Rfam family "Bacterial small subunit ribosomal RNA", at positions 507 to 808 of the family's 1533-position model. The record is from RNAcentral.